Molecule: ribosomal RNA, 446 nt
Filed under: uncultured bacterium
Lineage: Bacteria
Description: partial 16S ribosomal RNA
Rfam family: Bacterial small subunit ribosomal RNA
Source: RNAcentral
AACGAACGCUGGCGGCAGGCUUAACACAUGCAAGUCGAACGCCCCGCAAGGGGGGUGGCAGACGGGUGAGUAACGCGUGGGAACGUACCUUUCGCUUCGGAAUAUUCCCGGGAAACUGGGAGCAAUGCCGAAUACGCCGUAUUGGGAAAGAUUUAUCGGCGAAAGAUCGGCCCGCGUUAGAUUAGGUAGUUGGCGGUGUAAUGGACCACCAAGCCUACGAUCUAUAGCUGGUCUGAGAGGAUGAUCAGCCACACUGGGACUGAGACACGGCCCAGACUCCUACGGGAGGCAGCAGUGGGGAAUCUUGGACAAUGGGCGCAAGCCUGAUCCAGCCAUGCCGCGCGAGUGAAGAAGGCCUUAGGGUUGUAAAACUCUUUCGCCGGAGAAGAUAAUGACGGUAUCCGGAGAAGAAGCCCCGGCUAACUUCGUGCCAGCCGCCGCCGUAA